RNAcentral lists this non-coding RNA (656 nucleotides) under Salmo salar (Atlantic salmon). Its description in RNAcentral is "Eukaryotic large subunit ribosomal RNA". It matches the Rfam family "Eukaryotic large subunit ribosomal RNA", at positions 24 to 664 of the family's 3401-position model. Lineage: Eukaryota; Metazoa; Chordata; Actinopteri; Salmoniformes; Salmonidae. The record is from Rfam by way of RNAcentral.
CCCGCUGAAUUUAAGCAUAUUACUAAGCGGAGGAAAAGAAACUAACCAGGAUUCCCUCAGUAGCGGCGAGCGAAGAGGGAAGGGCCCAGCGCCGAAUCCCUGUCCGACGGGCGGGCAUGGGAAAUGUGGCGUAUAGAAGACCGCUUUGCCCGGUGUCGAUCGGGGGCCUGAGUCCUUCUGAUCGAGGCUCAGCCCGUGGACGGUGUGAGGCCGGUAACGGCCCCCGUCGCGCCGGGGUCCGGUCUUCUCGGAGUCGGGUUGCUUGGGAAUGCAGCCCAAAGUGGGUGGUAAACUCCAUCUAAGGCUAAAUACCGGCACGAGUCCGAUAGUCGACAAGUACCGUAAGGGAAAGUGAAAAGAANNNNNNNNNNNNNNNNNNNNCUUUCAAAGCGACAUUCAUUAAUGUCGUCAUAGAAUGGAUGUUUCGUUGGUCUUCGCGUUCAAUGAUAUAAUUUACUUAGCUGCAGACUAAUAAUUAAUAUCAAAGACUUGUUCUUAUUCUGUCGGUAUCAAUAGUCUAAAAGUUAACCACGUGGUAUAGUUCACUUUCAGUAGAGUACUUGGAUAGUCAAACCUAUUGGCCAACUCGCAAUGGAGUGGAGGCCGGGUCUGAAGGAAGUAGAUCAGGGUAUAGUUUUAUAGUGAACAUGUCACAU